This 253-nucleotide ribosomal RNA is filed under the name uncultured bacterium. RNAcentral describes it as "partial 16S ribosomal RNA". It matches the Rfam family "Bacterial small subunit ribosomal RNA", at positions 524 to 776 of the family's 1533-position model. The record is from RNAcentral.
UACGUAGGUGGCAAGCGUUGUCCGGAUUUACUGGGCGUAAAGGAUGCGUAGGCGGAUGUUUAAGUGAGAUGUGAAAUACCCGAGCUCAACUUGGGUGCUGCAUUUCAAACUGGAUAUCUAGAGUGCAGGAGAGGAAAGCGGAAUUCCUAGUGUAGCGGUGAAAUGCGUAGAGAUUAGGAAGAACACCAGUGGCGAAGGCGGCUUUCUGGACUGUAACUGACGCUGAGACACGAAAGCGUGGGUAGCAAACAGG